Molecule: unclassified non-coding RNA, 412 nt
Filed under: Hevea brasiliensis (rubber tree)
Lineage: Eukaryota; Viridiplantae; Streptophyta; Magnoliopsida; Malpighiales; Euphorbiaceae
Source: RNAcentral
UAUGAGCUGGAUUCAAGUCAGGAGGUAUGUUUGUGAUGGAAGCUAUCACUGCCAAAUGGUAUCUGUAGUCUGUUAGCCGACUCUAGUAUCAAUGUUCAAAUAAGAUAAUUUUGCCUACUACCAACUUAUAAUUGUACUAUCAAGUAUUUUUUCUACACAAUCAAUAAGAGUGACUAAUGUGAAAUAAGGUGCAAAAUGUGCUUCAUAAGAAAGUAGUCAGUGUGUAUGGAUGGAAGGCACAGCAAUUUUAAUCUGGACUGAAGCAAAAUUCAUAGAAAUAUAUGUACACCAUCUGGACAUGUAUACGACUCCGUAUGCCUUCUUUGGAUAUUCUCAUAGAGGUGUGCAAAACAAAUUCUGACUUUUUGGUAUUCUUGAACAGUUGUUUGGUCUUGGUUUAGCAAAUAUCUUG